GACGAACGCUGGCGGCGUGCCUAAUACAUGCAAGUCGAACGCUGAAGGAGGAGCUUGCUUCUCUGGAUGAGUUGCGAACGGGUGAGUAACGCGUAGGUAACCUGCCUGGUAGCGGGGGAUAACUAUUGGAAACGAUAGCUAAUACCGCAUAAUAGUAGAUGUUGCAUGACAUUUGCUUAAAAGGUGCAAUUGCAUCACUACCAGAUGGACCUGCGUUGUAUUAGCUAGUUGGUGAGGUAACGGCUCACCAAGGCGACGAUACAUAGCCGACCUGAGAGGGUGAUCGGCCACACUGGGACUGAGACACGGCCCAGACUCCUACGGGAGGCAGCAGUAGGGAAUCUUCGGCAAUGGACGGAAGUCUGACCGAGCAACGCCGCGUGAGUGAAGAAGGUUUUCGGAUCGUAAAGCUCUGUUGUAAGAGAAGAACGAGUGUGAGAGUGGAAAGUUCACACUGUGACGGUAUCUUACCAGAAAGGGACGGCUAACUACGUG
Molecule: ribosomal RNA, 495 nt
Filed under: uncultured bacterium
Lineage: Bacteria
Description: partial 16S ribosomal RNA
Rfam family: Bacterial small subunit ribosomal RNA
Source: RNAcentral